Molecule: ribosomal RNA, 441 nt
Filed under: uncultured bacterium
Lineage: Bacteria
Description: bacterial SSU rRNA
Rfam family: Bacterial small subunit ribosomal RNA
Source: RNAcentral
GCUUAACGCGAAGAACCUUACCAGCCCUUGACAUCCCGGUCGCGGUUACCAGAGAUGGUUUCCUUCAGUUCGGCUGGACCGGUGACAGGUGCUGCAUGGCUGUCGUCAGCUCGUGUCGUGAGAUGUUGGGUUAAGUCCCGCAACGAGCGCAACCCUCGCCCUUAGUUGCCAUCAUUCAGUUGGGCACUCUAAGGGGACUGCCGGUGAUAAGCCGAGAGGAAGGUGGGGAUGACGUCAAGUCCUCAUGGCCCUUACGGGCUGGGCUACACACGUGCUACAAUGGCGGUGACAAUGGGCAGCUAACCCGCGAGGGUGAGCUAAUCUCCAAAAGCCGUCUCAGUUCGGAUUGCACUCUGCAACUCGGGUGCAUGAAGGCGGAAUCGCUAGUAAUCGUGGAUCAGAACGCCACGGUGAAUACGUUCCCGGGUCUUGUACACACCG